RNAcentral lists this ribosomal RNA (253 nucleotides) under uncultured bacterium. RNAcentral's name for it is "partial 16S ribosomal RNA". It matches the Rfam family "Bacterial small subunit ribosomal RNA", at positions 524 to 776 of the family's 1533-position model. The record is from RNAcentral.
UACGAAGGGGGCUAGCGUUGCUCGGAAUCACUGGGCGUAAAGCGCACGUAGGCGGACUCUUAAGUCAGGGGUGAAAUCCUGGAGCUCAACUCCAGAACUGCCUUUGAUACUGAAGAUCUUGAGUUCGGGAGAGGUGAGUGGAACUGCGAGUGUAGAGGUGAAAUUCGUAGAUAUUCGCAAGAACACCAGUGGCGAAGGCGGCUCACUGGCCCGGUACUGACGCUGAGGCACGAAAGCGUGGGGAGCAAACAGG